GUAGGUGGCAAGCGUUGUCCGGAAUUAUUGGGCGUAAAGCGCGCGCAGGCGGUUCUUUAAGUCUGAUGUGAAAGCCCACGGCUCAACCGUGGAGGGUCAUUGGAAACUGGAGAACUUGAGUACAGAAGAGGAAAGCGGAAUUCCACGUGUAGCGGUGAAAUGCGUAGAGAUGUGGAGGAACACCAGUGGCGAAGGCGGCUUUCUGGUCUGUAACUGACGCUGAGGCGCGAAAGCGUGGGGAGCAAACAGGAUUAGAUACCCUGGUAGUCCACGCCGUAAACGAUGAGUGCUAAGUGUUAGGGGGUUUCGCCCCCCUUAGUGCUGCAGCUAACGCAUUAAGCACUCCGCCUGGGAGUACGGCCGCAAGGCUG
Molecule: ribosomal RNA, 371 nt
Filed under: uncultured organism
Description: partial 16S ribosomal RNA
Rfam family: Bacterial small subunit ribosomal RNA
Source: RNAcentral